AAGACCUUACUUCAUAGGAUCAUUUCUAUAGUAAGUUCUUCACGAGAUACGCAUUCUGAACAACUUGAUCUGAAAAGCUUUAAAAUAUGUACAUAUUUUUUUCACA
This 106-nucleotide small nucleolar RNA is filed under the name Papilio machaon (common yellow swallowtail). RNAcentral describes it as "Small nucleolar RNA U3". The stretch from base 1 to 40 matches the Rfam family "Small nucleolar RNA U3", at positions 1 to 41 of the family's 219-position model. The record is from Rfam by way of RNAcentral. Lineage: Eukaryota; Metazoa; Arthropoda; Insecta; Lepidoptera; Papilionidae.